GCAAAGGUUUCUCCCAGGCAGGCAUUCCACAGGCCACUGCUUCCAGGACCCACUGCCAUUUGCUUUGUCUGAAGGAGCAGCGACACUGGCCAUUCUAACCCCUCACUCCUUGCCUCUGGUUCUGAAGCUGCCAGGAAGGAAUUAUGAGAGUCAACAUCACAGAGACAGUGCCCCUGUUGCCAUAGCAGCAGUGAGGUCAAAACCUGCAUCACGUGCAGGGCCAGAACACUGCUAAAAAAGAAAGAAAGAAAGAAAGAAAGAAAGAAAGAAAGAAAGAAAGAAAGAAAGAAAGCUACUGUAGAUGACUUCACCAAUGUGUCCUGGAACCCCACCUCCCUAGAGCCCUACUCCACUAGGGAAGACAGAAAUAGCCUGGGAGUAUGGCUCCACCUGCCAAGCCCAUGUCCAGGGGACAAGCAAUUACAGAAGCCAGACGUUCCACCCUCUGCACCCCAUAAAGAUCAUAAAGGUCCAUACUCCCAGAGGGACAAAGAAUAAGGAAACUUCUGAUGGAAGGGAGGGAAUAUGGAACUUUAGUGGUGGGAAUUAUAUGGAAUUGUACCCCUCUUAUCCCACAAUCUUGUCAAUCAUUACUAAAUGACUAAUUGAAAAAAAAAAGAGGGGGCCAAGCAGUACUGCACUGGGUUAAGCACACAUAAUGCAAAGCGCAAAGACUGGCAUGAGGGUUCUGCUUCCAGCCCCCAGUUCCCCACCUGCAGGGGGUUUGCUUCACCAACAGUGCAGCAGGUCUGUAGAUGUCUGUCUCUCUCUCCCUCUCUGUCUUCCUCUUCUCCCUCAACAAUAACAGCAACAAUGGAAAAAAGAUGGCCGCCAGGAGCAGUCGAUUCAUAGUACAGGCUCCGAGCCCCAGCAAUAACCCUGGAGGAAAUAAAAAAAAGUUAUGUAAGGUAAUAAUGAUGCUAUAAUUAUGGGGC
Molecule: long non-coding RNA, 935 nt
Organism: Erinaceus europaeus (western European hedgehog)
Lineage: Eukaryota; Metazoa; Chordata; Mammalia; Eulipotyphla; Erinaceidae
Exons: 3
Source: RefSeq, a predicted model, not a curated record